UGUGUACUUAGCACGAGAAUUUAUUUAUUCAAAUUUUAUUAUAGUAUUAUUAUAUACUGUACCAUUACUAUUAUUGUGUGAAAUUAAUAUUAAAUUACUUUUACAGAACAUAGUAUGUUGUAACAAUCAUUAUGUUGGUUUAUGUUAUGUCUUUAUUAUUAUCUUAUUUAAGAACAUUUUAUUAAGUGGAAAAAUACAUUGUCAUGCAUGGUUGUGUUUCUAAUGUAAUACACAGCUUAAACAUAGUUUAAUAGGCUUUAAUUAGUCAACCACAAUUAUUUCAGGUUAUUAAGAUUUUAUUUGCACAAAAGAACUGCAAACUGUCGUCUAUCGUCAAAAAAGUCCUCACUGUUGCUUGACCCUUGAUAUUCAAUAUGUUUUUGAUCUGCACUGACAUCGUUGUAUUGUAUGCUAAUUGAACUGUGCUGGAUGAUGACAUCGCUGUUUUCUCUAGUGCUGAUAAAUUAACUAAAUUAUUAACUAUUAAUUUUUACAACCAAAUUAAACAAUACUGAAUUUACUUAAGAUGGAUACUGACACUAUUUUCUUUAAGAGUUGCUGUGCAGCCAAAACUAUACACCAGUUAUCACUGUAAAGCUGCUUUGACACAAUCUGCAUUGUAAAAAGCGCUAUAUAAAUAAAGGAGACUCGACUUGUUUCAGCAGUUGGUCAAAAGUGACGCUAUAAUGCUUUAGUCUUUAUACACAUAGUUAGAAAAACAAAUUCAACCAUAGCAAGUGAAGAAAACACCAUGAGAUGGAGAUGAGGAAGAAACCGGGGGUAAUUGUGCUGCGUUCAGUCACUAACAUGAUCUUCUCUGUGACCCAGAUGAUGCCGGCAGUGGCAGGAACAGUGAAGAGAGCUGAGGUGCGUUCAUCCAUUAAACAAUCCCUGAAAGAAGAAGAAGCAGUUCAUCCUCCAUGAGGUCGACUGUGGAGGACUGGAGCUUCAUCACUGUCACCAUAUCUUGAGAGGAUCAGAGGGGCAGGACAAAGAUCCUGCAGUAAAGAGAAAUGAAUUCUGGUUUAUGUUAUGUUAAAUAGUCAGAAAUUAAUCAUGUGAUAAAUCCUAAACUCAAUCAGUUUUGUAUUAAAUGGAAACUUUUCUAGCUGGACAGUGUAUAUUGUAUUGUAUUGUAUUGUAUUGAUACAGUAUACUGUAUCACAGUUUGUUGUUUAGAAUGACAUUUUAUAAUUAAAUCCAACAUUACUCUUGACAAAUUAUGCAAGUUUUGAUGUUUUAUUAAUUAUUUGCUUAAUAUCUUAAGUGACAUAUGUAACCCAUGUUAAAUGUGCCUAAAGAAAAUAAAUAAUAAAAUUGUAUAAUCUACUAAUUACACUUUUAAUUAAAAAGUUGAAACGUUCUAUUCAUAUGCAUCGUAAAUUAAUUGUGUAUAAAUAAAAAUAAUUCGUAUUAUAAUUAAGCGCAGAACACGUCAUGUAUUACACGAACACGUUGUGUGACGUAAGCAGAUGCCUCACGGAAGUGCGCGAGACGCGCUGAACACAAGACAAAAGAGCGAUACUAAGGGAUUAAAAAGGUUUAUGUUGUUAUAAUUAAUUUAAUAUGGGUAUGAGUAACUUUAUAAUAUUUUAUGUUUGAUGAUGAUGAAUGGUUUUAGAGUGAUGAUUGCUGAUUUAAGAGUGGAUGUUAGCGGAUUGUGAUCCUCUGAAUCUGAAGCGGGUGUUUAUCAAACUGAGAAACUCGGGAUUCGAUAAAAUGAGCCAAAAAGAGAUUUAUCUCAGACUGAAAGGUCAAAAAUGAUUAAAUUCCCACGAGAAGGAUGCUAUACUAGAUAUUGCAGUUAAUGAGCAUUUUGCUGUCCAAUGGUCAUGCCUUAAGUCAGACA
This is a long non-coding RNA of Megalobrama amblycephala (Wuchang bream), 1849 nucleotides long. RefSeq lists it as uncharacterized. The record is from RefSeq and is a predicted model, not a curated record. The transcript has 2 exons. Lineage: Eukaryota; Metazoa; Chordata; Actinopteri; Cypriniformes; Xenocyprididae.